GUUAGACUUUAAUUUCCUUUUUUAUCUUUCACAAAAUUAUCGGUGAUUAGGUAGUAGAGUCAUUCAUGCACCAUAUGCGGAUCUCCGAUCGCCAAUUUGAAUUCCCGCUCCUCUCCCAAAAACCUAGCAGUCGUUGUUGCUUCUCCCACGACAUUUCCUCUUCACCCUUCAAGAUUAUCAAGUGUUCGACAUCAUUCGCCAUCACUUCCGACGUAUCACAACCGAUUUCAUCACACUAUUGCAUUAAAGAAUCUAUUAGUUUCUCAACAUAAGCCCUAGCGAUUAAGAAUAUUGAUCAAUGUGCGUGGAUUUAAUAGGUCAGUUUCACAGGGCUUAUGUGAGAUGCUGAUUCCUUAGGUUUUUGGGGGACUCAGACAUGUGGAUAUCCCAGGGCUUAAAGUUUUUUUUAAAGGUUUUGUUUGUGGGAGAUUAAGAUGGAGGUGGAUUAGAAAGAGGUUUAAAUGGAGUGUUGAUAGGAAAUGAUAAGUUAAGAAGAAGACGAUGGAACACAAGGCUUUGAAGUUGCAGGAAGUAGCUUUUGUUUUUUUAGUGCAAAUAUUGGAUGUGGGUUACGCAUUUGUUUCUACUUCUGUCGUAAUGUCAUCAAUUGAAGCCCUAAUUUGUGGUCGGGGUCUGCUACAGUGGGUGGAUAUUUCGAUUAAGCUGGUUCUGGAAGUGGCGCAAAAGUUGGUGGAGAAUAAGGUUAGAACGGAUUGUGGAUAAUCAAUGGGUUCUCAACAAUUUUCCUCCUAUCACUGUUGCAGUCAUGACCCUUUGAUAUACAUACGGUCAAACGAUCCACUUUGAUCCGACCCACGUAUGUCGGAUCCGUAACCCGGAAUAAACCCAUGAAGAUGCAUUCACCCCAUGCCUACGUGAAGAGUGGGCCACCUUGAGCCAACUGCCCACGAUUCCCAUUUUACCCAUUUGAAGUAUUUUAGUUUCUUUUAGUUUAUACUAUUUUCUCACUUUUAAUUAAUUUAUUUAGUAGUGGUCUAGGUGGUUAGUAGAAGUUAUUUUGUAAUUGCUAUAUGUAUGGGUUCGACACUAAUGAAAAGGCAGUGAGUUUAUGUUUGAGAAAAGAAUUUUGUUGAUUUAUCUCUUGAGUGUGAGAGUUAAAUUAAUGUGUCUAUGCUAGCUCAAUUGUGGCAUAUUGAGUGGUGUUCUUAGACCCGAAUUUAUAACCGGAGUGGUGAUUUCUGUAUCUUCGGGAGUGAUUCGCAGCCCUACUGUUGGUUUUGGUGGUGUAUCUGUAUCCAAAACGAACCGUAGAUCUAUCUUUUAUUUUACCGUUUUAAUUGAACCGGUGAUACGGGGAUUUUCUCCUAUCACCCUUGCUGUGAUGGCCAUGAAGUUAAGUUGUAUGAGUGUUCUGCGUUGAAGUUGCGGAGGUGGUAGCAGGGUAUAUUACUAACCCAAUCCCAAAAAAAGAUCAAGAUUAAAGGUUUUGAUUUAGUCAAAUGUUAGUUGAUGUAUUGCUAGGAAAAAGCAGCUCGAUUAUCUGAAUCUUCAUUUAUUAUAUUGGUCGUUGCAGGUUUUCUUUAAAAACCCAUAAUAUGUUCGCAUUAGGGCCUCCUUAACCUACGUUUUAGUGAAAUUGGAAACCUAAAUUGGACUUAGUUUUGACUUUUUUUUUUUCAGAUAGGUACCUGGUGGCAGGGCAACACCUGGUUGUAUCAUUAAUGUAAUUGGAGAGCCUAUUGAUCAUAGAGGUGAAAUUAGUAAGUUAUGUGACUCAGGAAUGGCCCUGCUAUCAGUUCCCCUGUGGUGAUUAUUUACGUCUGAAAAGACAAGUUGACGUGGCAUGGUGUGAGCAAAAGUGGUGGCUGCAGAAUCAUCAGCAGGUAGCAAGCCUGCGUCAAGUGGAGGCAUGUUUCUUUUCAAGUGAGAUUGGAAUGUCUAUUGCUGCUAAUUGGGUGUCUUGCAACUUCAUAUAUCCACUCAGAGAGGUUGGGUAUCAGUAAGCUUCUGUUUGGAACCAUGCACCUCAAAGCAUAUAAUUGGGGGGUGGUUGUUGCUUUAAGCUCUACCCCUAAAGCUAAUUCAUCAAAAUUAAACCAAAAGAGUCAUCUACUCUUGAACCUUCAAAGCAUUACUUACAACCAUUUUUGCAUAGAGCGGUGUUCACAGUACCAAAUCAUACCAUCCAGUCGGAGCGGAAACUAGCUACAAAGCGGUGUUCACAGUACCAAAUCAUACCAUCCAGUCGGAACGGAAACUAGCUACAAAAGUAACCGUGUCAACUACUCCUGAACCACCUUCAUUUGGGCUCACUGGUUUUCAUGCCGAUUAUUGAACCGAAGACUUGGUGGUUGAACUAAAUUUUUAAAGCUUUUUAAACAUUUUUAAAGUUUUUUCCUUUCUAAAAUAGUAAGAUCUCAUCUAAUAAUUAAUUUUAAACUUCAGCCCCUAUGUUUUGCAUUGCAAAAAGUUAAAUUACUUCCGU
Molecule: long non-coding RNA, 2446 nt
Filed under: Helianthus annuus (common sunflower)
Lineage: Eukaryota; Viridiplantae; Streptophyta; Magnoliopsida; Asterales; Asteraceae
Source: RNAcentral